Long non-coding RNA from Haliotis rubra (blacklip abalone), 776 nucleotides. RefSeq lists it as uncharacterized. The transcript is spliced from 2 exons. The record is from RefSeq and is a predicted model, not a curated record. NCBI's taxonomy places the organism in Eukaryota, Metazoa, Mollusca, Gastropoda, Lepetellida, Haliotidae.
UGAGGUGGGUUGGGGGAGAAAGUAAAGAAGAGAGAUAGAGGUAAGAAAGUAAAGGAGAGGAAAUGGAGAAAGUAAAUGAGAGAGGCAGAGGUGAGAAAGUAAAUGAGGGAGAUAGUAAAGGAGAAGGACAAGGAGAAAAUAAAUGAGAGAUAGAGGUGAGAAAGAAAGGGAGAGAGAGAGUGUGUGCCACAAGAGAGAGAGAAGAGAGAAUGUCACACAUGGACACAGUGAAAGCCUUGAAAAUCUUUAGGUUACGUUUUAACGUCAUGAAAGCAAGGACGGGAUCAUUGACUUGGCUAUUGUUAAUUGCAUCCCUCGGUAAAAUGUAAUAUCUUAAGCCAAUCACGUCAAAUCGACCGUUUUAGGAAGUUAAACGAAAUGUUGUUGCUUUCAUUUUUGCACGUGAAAAGGCACACAUAAUCAGAUACUUGUUUGGUCUGAUUUCGCAACCCGCAUCCCAUGGGACGUCUCAGAAACUCGCUACAAAAAGUCCAGCCCUGCAGAACAAGGAACCAGGACAGUACAAAUAACGGCGGAGUCAGCUCACUUAUCAUGGUGUGGGGGCAAUUGUCUUUUCUGUGCGUCUCGCUAGAAACACUGGACACUCAACGGUAUCAGACAAUUGCAUGAUCUGGGCACGGCGCCUUUACAGCGCGUCGAGGGAGACGGAGCUACGGUAUAACAAGCAAUUACGGUUCAAUUUUGAUCAACAAAUUGUCAAAAACUAGGCUCUCAUGCGUCCAUCUUAAUGUGCGAUUAAACACCCCUGAAACGAC